CGCGAUUCGCCCUUCGGGGUGCCCAGGCGCGAAAACUUUACAAUGCUGGCAACAGCGAUAAGGGGACCUCGAGUGCCAGGAUACAAUCUUGGCUGUCGCGAUGCCUAAAAAGCAUUGCAUAGCAAGGGCCGGGCAAGACCGGUGCCAGCCGCCGCGGUAACACCGGCGGCUCGAGUGGUAACCGCUAUUAUUGGGUCUAAAGGGUCUGUAGCCGGCCGGAUAAGUCUUUUGGGAAAUCCAGCUGCUCAACAGUUGGGCUUUCAGAAGAUACUGUUCGGCUCGAGGCCGGGAGAGGUGAGAGGUACUUCAGGGGUAGGGGUGAAAUCUUGUAAUCCUUGAAGGACCACCAGUGGCGAAGGCGUCUCACCAGAACGGACCUGACGGCAAGGGACGAAAGCUAGGGGCACGAACCGGAUUAGAUACCCGGGUAGUCCUAGCCGUAAACGAUACUCGCUAGGUGUCAGCCACGGUGCGACCGUGGUUGGUGCCGUAGGGAAGCCGUGAAGCGAGCCACCUGGGAAGUACGGCCGCAAGGCUGAAACUUAAAGGAAUUGGCGGGGGAGCAC
RNAcentral lists this ribosomal RNA (566 nucleotides) under uncultured archaeon. Its description in RNAcentral is "bacterial SSU rRNA". It matches the Rfam family "Archaeal small subunit ribosomal RNA", at positions 312 to 879 of the family's 1478-position model. The record is from RNAcentral.